Molecule: transfer RNA, 76 nt
Filed under: Alphaproteobacteria bacterium
Lineage: Bacteria; Pseudomonadati; Pseudomonadota; Alphaproteobacteria
Also listed under: 1 other name
Description: tRNA-Arg
Rfam family: tRNA
About the family: Transfer RNA (tRNA) molecules are approximately 80 nucleotides in length. Their secondary structure includes four short double-helical elements and three loops (D, anti-codon, and T loops).
Source: RNAcentral
GCGCCCGUAGCACAAUGGAUAAUGCAACAGAUUUCUAAUCUGUGGAUUGCAGGUUCGAGUCCUGCCGGGCGUGCCA